This is a long non-coding RNA of Thalassophryne amazonica, 1078 nucleotides long. RefSeq lists it as uncharacterized. The transcript is spliced from 3 exons. Lineage: Eukaryota; Metazoa; Chordata; Actinopteri; Batrachoidiformes; Batrachoididae. The record is from RefSeq and is a predicted model, not a curated record.
GAGAGAGACAGAGAGAGGGAGAGAGAGGGAGAGAGAGAGAGAGAGAGAAAGGCACCACAUAUGGAAGAAAGAAAAGGUGUUGACUGUAAAAGAUAUAAGAGAAAGAAGGCAAGAAAGAAAGUCUUGUUUUGUUUUUUUGCUCCCUCGUUGACCCGGUUUGGCAGAGGGUGGACAGAAAAGCGAGCACAGCCCUCCAGCACAAACAGGAGACGCUGCUCCAUCCUGGACUCAACUCAGGAGCGCACAAGACCAGAUUCUGGAGCAACGGCCGAGCUGUGAGAGGGGUCCCGUCCACGGACGAGAUUCUCACCCACUCCUCCAAAAUCAGAAUGAAAACAAGUCCUACAGCAGAGACAUCUAUACUGGAGACAGGACAGAGAAUCUGGUCAUGUGCCUAUCUCCUCCUCACCAUGGCUCCGCUGAGACCAAGAGAGGAAGGAGAUAAAACACACAAGCUGGAGGACAGCAGCUUGGCUCCAGGUUCCAGUGCAAACACUGUACUUCCCUUCAAAGAGACGGACAGGUAGACACCUGGAUAUUAUGCUAAACCCCUUCCCCAGUGUGUCCUUCCUUACAUCUGCUGACAUAUUUAACUUGCAAAUGGUGACUGUUAUUCAGCAAAUGUACACAAAAAAAAGCAUGAAGCCGUCCAUGCGGUGGCUCCUCUGGACCCUGACCCCUGGGUCACAGCAUCCAAGCACCACUUCAGCCCACGCCAGUGUCACAUGUGUGAAGACAGAUGAGAGGGUUUGAUGAUCAGGCUCAGCUCGCACUGACUCACCCACAGACAGGACAGAAAUGAAGCCAUCGCACACGCACGCUGACAGCCUUUUCCCAUCAGGCCUUUGUUGUGCUCCCCAGCGAUGAUGAUCUCACCACAUAGCAGAGCUAAGCCUCAGUAAGCAGACAGGCAGCGCGUCAAUACGUCAUCAGUCAGUCAGCCAGUCAGUCACCCAGGAGCCGACCCGUCUGUUAACUAAUUAUUAAAACUGACAGUUUGGCAGGUUGCAUUGCCAAGUUGGUCAUGUUUAAUGCCUCUGUUUGUCUGUUACUGUUCUCAUGCAGGAUCACAGUGAAG